AAGCAGAGAACGUGAAGAAAGGUGGAGAGGUAAUGAGGAUCAAUUUGGUCAUUGGUUAUGAGAAGACCACGCUCAUCUAGGACUCUAUUAGCAUCCAUCAUAAAAUCAUACAUGAAGGUUGGAUAUCAAAGAUUAUGUCACAUGAUUUGAGGAUCUUGAACCUGCGUUUCAUGUCUUGACGCUUUUUAACAUAUGAAUGAAGUGCGGUAAGAGAUGUGAGCAUCCCACCAAGGACAAGGCUUUGGAUACUGUGAUACAGACCAUAUCAAGAGGAUCUUCAAAAGUUUAUAUUUUAAUGACUUGGCCUUCAUAUAAUUAAGCAUGACAAGGAACACAGUAUUUGAAGUAUAUCAA
Brassica oleracea var. oleracea is the source of this 354-nucleotide long non-coding RNA. RefSeq lists it as uncharacterized. The record is from RefSeq and is a predicted model, not a curated record. Lineage: Eukaryota; Viridiplantae; Streptophyta; Magnoliopsida; Brassicales; Brassicaceae. The transcript has 5 exons.